This 505-nucleotide ribosomal RNA is filed under the name uncultured bacterium. RNAcentral's name for it is "partial 16S ribosomal RNA". It matches the Rfam family "Bacterial small subunit ribosomal RNA", at positions 28 to 507 of the family's 1533-position model. The record is from RNAcentral.
GACGAACGCUGGCGGCGUGCCUAAUACAUGCCAGUAGAACGCACAGUUUAUACCGUAGCUUGCUACACCAUAGACUGUGAGUUGCGAACGGGUGAGUAACGCGUAGGUAACCUGCCUGGUAGCGGGGGAUAACUAUUGGAAACGAUAGCUAAUACCGCAUAAUAUUAAUUAUUGCAUGAUAAUUAAUUGAAAGGUGCAAUUGCACCACUACCAGAUGGACCUGCGUUGUAUUAGCUAGUAGGUGAGGUAACGGCUCACCUAGGCGACGAUACAUAGCCGACCUGAGAGGGUGAUCGGCCACACUGGGACUGAGACACGGCCCAGACUCCUACGGGAGGCAGCAGUAGGGAAUCUUCGGCAAUGGACGAAAGUCUGACUGAGCAACGCCGCGUGAGUGAAGAAGGUUUUCGGAUCGUAAAGCUCUGUUGUAAGAGAAGAACGGGUGUGAGAGUGGAAAGUUCACACUGUGACGGUAUCUUACCAGAAAGGGACGGCUAACUACGUG